UAAGAGCGAAUGGUGGAUGCCUUGACUGGUAAAGGCGAUGAAGGACGUACUAGACUGCGAUAAGCUACGGGGAGCUGUCAAGAAGCUUUGAUCCGUAGAUUUCCGAAUGGGGCAACCCAAUGUAUAGAGAUAUACAUUACCUAUAUAGGAGCGAACGAGGGGAAUUGAAACAUCUUAGUACCCUCAGGAAAAGAAAUCAAUAGAGAUUGCGUCAGUAGCGGCGAGCGAAAGCGCAAGAGGGCAAACCCAGUGCUUGCACUGGGGGUUGUAGGACUGCAAUGUGCAAGAGGUGAGUUUAGCAGAACAUUCUGGAAAGUAUAGCCAUAGAGGGUGAUAGUCCCGUAUGCGAAAAACAAACCUUAGCUAGCAGUAUCCUGAGUAGGGCGGGACACGAGAAAUCCUGUCUGAAGCUGGGUCGACCACGAUCCAACCCUAAAUACUAAUACCAGAUCGAUAGUGCACAAGUACCGUGAGGGAAAGGUGAAAAGAACUGAGGUGAUCAGAGUGAAAUAGAACCUGAAACCAUUUGCUUACAAUCAUUCAGAGCCCUAUGUAGCAAUACAGGGUGAUGGACUGCCUUUUGCAUAAUGAGCCUGCGAGUUGUGGUGUCUGGCAAGGUUAAGCAAACGCGAAGCCGUAGCGAAAGCGAGUCUGAAUAGGGCGCUUAGUCAGAUGCUGCAGACCCGAAACGAAGUGAUCUAUCCAUGAGCAAGUUGAAGCUAGUGUAAGAACUAGUGGAGGACUGAACCCAUAGGCGUUGAAAAGCCCCGGGAUGACUUGUGGAUAGGGGUGAAAGGCCAAUCAAACUUCGUGAUAGCUGGUUCUCUCCGAAAUAUAUUUAGGUAUAGCGUUGUGUCGUAAUAUAAGGGGGUAGAGCACUGAAUGGGCUAGGGCAUACACCAAUGUACCAAACCCUAUCAAACUCCGAAUACCUUAUAUGUAAUCACAGCAGUCAGGCGGCGAGUGAUAAAAUCCGUCGUCAAGAGGGAAACAACCCAGACUACCAGCUAAGGUCCCUAAAUCUUACUUAAGUGGAAAACGAUGUGAAGUUACUUAAACAACCAGGAGGUUGGCUUAGAAGCAGCCAUCCUUUAAAGAAAGCGUAAUAGCUCACUGGUCUAGUGAUUUUGCGCGGAAAAUAUAACGGGGCUAAAGUAAGUACCGAAGCUGUAGACUUGCGCACAACUUAGAUUAUUUAAGUUUAGAAUAUGAGAAACUAAGUUAUAUGUUUAGUUAUAUUUUUACUGAUUUUUAUAGAGUAAAGAUAGAAAUAAAACUUAGUAAAAUCAGUAAAAAUAUUCUUAGACUAAAGUUAAGUAGUUUAAGUUGUGUGCAAGUGGUAGGAGAGCGUUCUAUUUGCGUCGAAGGUAUACCGGUAAGGAGUGCUGGAGCGAAUAGAAGUGAGCAUGCAGGCAUGAGUAGCGAUAAUUAAUGUGAGAAUCAUUAACGCCGUAAACCCAAGGUUUCCUACGCGAUGCUCGUCAUCGUAGGGUUAGUCGGGUCCUAAGUCGAGUCCGAAAGGGGUAGACGAUGGCAAAUUGGUUAAUAUUCCAAUACCAACAUUAGUGUGCGAUGGAAGGACGCUUAGGGCUAAGGGGGCUAGCGGAUGGAAGUGCUAGUCUAAGGUCGUAGGAGGUUAUACAGGCAAAUCCGUAUAACAAUACUCCGAGAACUGAAAGGCUUUUUGAAGUCUUCGGAUGGAUAGAAGAACCCCUGAUGCCGUCGAGCCAAGAAAAGUUUCUAAGUUUAGCUAAUGUUGCCCGUACCGUAAACCGACACAGGUGGGUGGGAUGAGUAUUCUAAGGCGCGUGGAAGAACUCUCUUUAAGGAACUCUGCAAAAUAGCACCGUAUCUUCGGUAUAAGGUGUGGUUAGCUUUGUAUUAGGAUUUACUCCGAAAGCAAGGAAACUUACAACAAAGAGUCCCUCCCGACUGUUUACCAAAAACACAGCACUCUGCUAACUCGUAAGAGGAUGUAUAGGGUGUGACGCCUGCCCGGUGCUCGAAGGUUAAUUGAUGGGGUUAGCAUUAGCGAAGCUCUUGAUCGAAGCCCGAGUAAACGGCGGCCGUAACUAUAACGGUCCUAAGGUAGCGAAAUUCCUUGUCGGUUAAAUACCGACCUGCAUGAAUGGCGUAACGAGAUGGGAGCUGUCUCAAAGAGGGAUCCAGUGAAAUUGUAGUGGAGGUGAAAAUUCCUCCUACCCGCGGCAAGACGGAAAGACCCCGUGGACCUUUACUACAGCUUGACACUGCUAUUUGGAUAAGAAUGUGCAGGAUAGGUGGGAGGCUUUGAGUAUAUGACGCCAGUUGUAUAUGAGCCAUUGUUGAGAUACCACUCUUUCUUAUUUGGGUAGCUAACCAGCUUGAGUUAUCCUCAAGUGGGACAAUGUCUGGUGGGUAGUUUGACUGGGGCGGUCGCCUCCCAAAUAAUAACGGAGGCUUACAAAGGUUGGCUCAGAACGGUUGGAAAUCGUUCGUAGAGUAUAAAGGUAUAAGCCAGCUUAACUGCAAGACAUACAAGUCAAGCAGAGACGAAAGUCGGUCUUAGUGAUCCGGUGGUUCUGUGUGGAAGGGCCAUCGCUCAAAGGAUAAAAGGUACCCCGGGGAUAA
RNAcentral lists this ribosomal RNA (2610 nucleotides) under Campylobacter coli. RNAcentral's name for it is "partial 23S ribosomal RNA". It matches the Rfam family "Bacterial large subunit ribosomal RNA", at positions 12 to 2477 of the family's 2925-position model. The record is from RNAcentral. Lineage: Bacteria; Pseudomonadati; Campylobacterota; Epsilonproteobacteria; Campylobacterales; Campylobacteraceae.